UACGGGGGGGAGCAAGCGUUGUUCGGAUUUACUGGGCGUAAAGGGCGCGUAGGCGGUCGUGACAAGUCACUUGUGAAAUCUCCGGGCUUAACUCGGAACGGUCAAGUGAUACUGUCGGACUAGAGUACAGAAGGGGCAACUGGAAUUCCUGGUGUAGCGGUGAAAUGCGCAGAUAUCAGGAGGAACACCAAUUGCGAAGGCAGCUCGCUGGGACGUUACUGACGCUGAGACGCGAAAGCGUGGGGAGCAAACAGG
This 255-nucleotide ribosomal RNA is filed under the name uncultured bacterium. RNAcentral describes it as "partial 16S ribosomal RNA". It matches the Rfam family "Bacterial small subunit ribosomal RNA", at positions 524 to 776 of the family's 1533-position model. The record is from RNAcentral.